RNAcentral lists this ribosomal RNA (156 nucleotides) under uncultured Tomentella. Its description in RNAcentral is "5.8S ribosomal RNA". It matches the Rfam family "5.8S ribosomal RNA". From Rfam's summary of the family: 5.8S ribosomal RNA (5.8S rRNA) is a component of the large subunit of the eukaryotic ribosome. The record is from RNAcentral. Lineage: Eukaryota; Fungi; Basidiomycota; Agaricomycetes; Thelephorales; Thelephoraceae.
CAACUUUCAGCAACGGAUCUCUUGGCUCUCGCAUCGAUGAAGAACGCAGCGAAAUGCGAUAAGUAAUGUGAAUUGCAGAAUUCAGUGAAUCAUCGAAUCUUUGAACGCACCUUGCGCCCCUUGGCUAUUCCGAAGGGCAUGCCUGUUUGAGUAUCA